UGACUCUCUCUCUCUCUUUCUGAAGUUGUUAGGUUUUAAGUAGAACUCCAUGAUUAUCAGGCUACUUAUAAUUAAGGCAAAAGUGAUUAGCCAUUGUUAAGCAUGUAUAUAACUAUUACAGAACUUAAGCAGUGAGUAAACUUUCUAAUCAGCUCGAUCUAUUUUCUUCUUCUUUUUGUCAUUAUAGGCCUUCCCACUUAACUCCCCACUAGUCUCUCAUAUCUCAAGAGCAAUCUUGAAUGUCACUGAAGAUCAUGAUAAAACGGAAGCAAUUAAGAGUAAAAGCUUUGGUAGGGAAAUCACCUGUGAAGAUCGAGGAGCUGAAACCUCUUCAGGUGGUCUAAGGUUGUCUAGCUUCGCGGGCCUCUUCCUUAUCUCUGGAGUUGCUUCCAUAUCUUCGCUCCUGAUAUAUAUCAUUAGGUUCCUUUUCUCAAAUUAUCCUGCUUCGAACACAAUGCAUGAAGAACAAUCCAUGUGGCUGAGAAUUCUUGAGGUAGCAAAGCGUUUUGACCAGAAAGAUCCCUCCGUCCAUCAUCUUAGGCGAGCUGAAUCUAGAGUUCACCCUGUCACAGGUCCUGAAAGUAUUGGAGCCUCACCUGAGACUGGCAACGUGCAUGAAAUGACUUCCAAUGAAGGAGCCGAAGAUGUUGGAGAAAAUCAAAACCAUGACAAUCUUACCUCGGGGAAUAGUGGUACAAAUUUUAUUGCCUCCAAUGCAGAUACUGUUGCCCCUAACACUCCGGAAAUAAACCGAGCUUCACCUGAUACUGCCUAUGUGCAUGAAAUGACUUCCGAUGAAGGAGCCGAAGUUGUUGUUGGGGAUCAAAACCGCGGCAAUCGUACCUCAGUGAACAGUGGUACAAAUACUAACACAAUGUUGCCCACAAAAAUCAGCUGUACAUGAAUAAUGGUGAGCCACCAUCCAUUCACCAAUGCUGAUUGAAAGUUAACAUAUGAAGUCCUUGUGGUAAAAAUAUUAUUUUGAUAUAUUUUUAAGUAAAAUAUACUUUGAAAAGUAAUUGCUACCACUCUUACAAAUAUCCUAUAAGUAACACGAGCUUAUGAUCUUUUAUAUAUACUUGAAGCGCAAAGCACUUCAAAUGCUAGACUUCAAUCUUCGGUGAUCAUAAGUUGAUUGUCAUUUUGGGUUAAGGAUUGUGAUUUUACAAUCAACAACACAACAGUAAUAGACUAAUGGUAUGCUUUCUUUGUCAUCCUAGUUUGUAGAGAAAGUUGUGGAUGUCCAAGCUCCUUGCAAACAGAGAAAUCAUAAAAUGCAACUUUGGUUACCUGUUUAAUGGCAGAAUUUUGAAAUUGGAUUUGGGCACUUCGACGUAGGAGAGCUCUCCUGGUAGAUGCGCUGAAUAUCCUUCCUUGAAAAUUUAAGGCUAAGCCUGUAGAAUUAUCCUCUGAAGGUGCAUUUUCUGUAGCUGUGCCUAACUUAUCAGUGACAAGUUAUCCUGUUUUUUUAGUGUAGUGGUGGUUCAAUAAUCAUCAACUUUUCUAUAUCUAGAUGGAAUCCUAUCAGGGGCUCUACCUUUGUAGGUACAAACACGACAUUGUCCUGCACAUCAGGCUAUAGCCCUAUCACAAGCAUGUUAGAUGGAAGCAAAUAAUUUCAAGUAGAAUUUGACUGAGUUGCUGAGCAACUUGAUGAUUUAGAUGUCGUUGCAGGUCUUACAAUUGUUGGUGGGAGAAACCACUGGUGGUGGUUUUGAAACACUCAGAGGGGAUAAAAACACAUUGUUUUAUUUCAACAACAAGAAGCUUACAAAAUAAACAAAAGCUCUUAAUACACGCCCUCUGUUUUCUCUCUAGUGUUUCUCUUAUCUCUCCCACACACUGAUAAUAGCAUAAACUUAGUUGCCUAUUUAUACACAAAUUGAAAGUAAGAAAAAUUCUUAGUUGGCGGCUUGUAAAGGCUGCUGAUGGUUUGUGAAGGCGGUUGACAGCUGGCGGCUGGUGGCUGGCGGUUUGACAAGUCACUGGCGGUGACUGCAGGCGGUGGAUGCAAGUGGUGGUUGCUGUUUUUGACCUUCUAGAAUGAGUUUAAUGCAACAAAUCCCCCCUUUAAAGUCAAUCGAGGGAUGUCAUGCCAAACAUAAACUUCAAUUUGAUAAAUAUUUCUCCCUUCAAUGGCUUUGUAUCCUUGUACUUCUCCUUUUGCAUUCUUCUUCAUCUUAUAGACCCAUUUGACACCUAUUGCUUUCUUGUUUUCUGGUAUAUUAGUCAGCUUCUAGGUAUCAUUCUUCUCAAUGGCAUGUAUUUCUUCAUCCAUUGCAUCUAUCCACUUUUCUUCUGUGACAGCUUUAUUGAAGCUAAGUGGGUCAUUAUCUGCGAAGAAACAAAAUAGAGUUGUAUCUUCCAUGACUUGAGUGACAUCAUACAACUCUUCUAGAUUUCUCAUCCUUCUUGGUUCUUCUGAUGAGGAUGCUGAUGGUGGUGUUGAUGAUGAUUCUGGUGUGUUUCUCCUGUUGAAUACAGGGGAUCUGUGUACCGGACUUUGUGGCUCAUCUGCUGGUAAUAUUGGACCUUCUGCAAGUACUGUUGGUACUUCCACUUCGUCUUCAAUGAUCAAAUCAGUACUGAUCCAUUUGACUGCUUCUUGAUCAUCAUUCCAUUGCCAAGUUUUAUCUUCUUCAAAGAUAACAUCUCUACUCAUAAUUACCUUCUUUGUAAUGGGAUUAUACAGCUUGUAUCCCAUCCUUCUAUCACCAUAUCCGACAAAGAUGCAUUUCUCGCUUUUAUCAUCGAGUUUGGUCCUUCUUGCAUUUGGGAUCUUUGCAUAUGACACACAACCAAAGACUCGAAGAUGAGUAACACUUGAUUUGUGACCACUCCAUGCUUCUUCUGGAGUGACAACUUAUAAACUUCUAGUUGGGCAGCGAUUCAGUAGAUACACUGCACAUGAUACAACUUCAGCCUAGUAUUGUUUGGGCAGCUUCUUUGCUUUGAGUAGACUUUUUGCCAUGUCAAGAAUCGUUCGAUUCUUUCUCUCAGCUACACCAUUCAGCUGUGGUGUAUAAGCUGGUGUUGUUUGAUGUCUGAUGCCUUGUUGUGUACAAAAGGCUUCAAAAUAAUUUAAAGUGUAUUCUCCACGAUCAGAUCUCACAGUUCUGAUCUUAUAUCCACUUUGCUUCUCAACAAUUGCUUUAAAAGCUUUAAAACAAUUCAACACUUCUGACUUCCUCUUCAGAAAGUAUAUCCAUGUCUUUCUGCUAAAAUCAUCAAUGAAAGUAAGGAAGUAUCUAUUUUGUCCAGUUGACAUAGGCUUUAUGGGACCACACACAUCUGUGUGCACUAACUCCAGUGGCUGAUUUGCUUUCCAGUUGACUUCUUUGGCAAAACUGGAUAUGUGAUGUUUGCUGAGGACACAACUUUCAUAGACUUCAUCUGGAUGAUCAAUGUGGGGCAUACCUUUGACCAUCUUCUUGCUUGCUAGCAUCUUCAGACUUGUGAAAUUCAGAUGUCCAAGCCUUAGGUGCUAAAACCAGUCUUCAUUGUUGGUGAUGGCACUCAAACACUUUGCUGCAUCAUAUUGGAUGUUUAAAGGAAACAUCCUAUUCUUGGACAUCUUCACAUAGACAAUUAAUCUCCCAUUGUAGUCUGUAAUUGUCAGAUGACAAUUCUUCAAGAAAAGAGUAUAAUCUUUCUCCAUAAGUUGACCUACACUCAGCAAGUUGUGCUUUAUGGCUGGAACAUAGUAAACAUCUACGAUGUAGCUGUGAUCGCCAUUCUUCAACUUGAUUGGGAUGUUGCCUUUACCUUUAAAUGAAACUUUUGAGGUAUCUCCAAAGGUGACACCAAAUAGAUCCCGUUGGCCACACAUGUGAUUGCUGGCUCUAGAAUCUAAAUACCAAAUUUUCUCUUGAUUCUCGCCAAGUCCUUGUUGGAUAAAUAAUGCAGCUGAUUCUCCGAUGAUGGCGCAGCUGAUUCUCUAAUGAUGGCAUCCUUCUCUGCAUAGUUGGCUUGUUCACGUACCUCUAAUGGAGCUUUCCUUCGACAUUCAGUGCUAUAGUGCCCAAAUUGAUUGCAACUAUAACACUGGAUAUUCCUCUUGUCACUGUUAUUGUAACCGCCUCCUCUUCCUCUAGGAGUGAAUGUUUGUUGUCCUCGACCUCCUCUGGUGGUGUUUCUACCACCUCUUCCUCUAAAUCCUGUAUUCCAGUAUCCACUUUCUUGAAAUCGAUGAAAUCCUUCUUGUCUUUGUUGACCUCUUCCCCGAGUGGUAUAGCCACUUGUUGAAGUCUCCCCUUGCUCAUAUUUGUCUUUGAGAGACAACUUUGCUUGUAAGGCAUGCUCAAUUGCCUUAUCUCUAUUUUUUUCACAAUCUUUUGCUCACGAGCUUGCAAAGAACUUAUAAGCUCAUCCACCAUCAACUUGUCCACUUCUUUGGACUCUUCAAUAGCGACAACAAUAAAAUCAAAAUUUUCUCAGUAAUACGAGCAUCUGUGAGGGCUUCUCCAUUUCUUCUCAUCUGAUUGACUAUCACCAUAAUUCUUGUGUGAUAAUCAGAAAUAGAUUCUGAGGACUUCAUUUGCAAUAAUUCAAACUCACAUCGCAAAGAUUGGAGACGAAUCUUCUUGAUUCUGUCAUCACCAUAAUUCUUGUGUGAUAAUCAGAAAUAGAUUCCGAGGACUUUAUUUGCAAUAAUUCAAACUCACCUCGCAAAGAUUGGAGACGAAUCUUCUUGAUUCUGUCAGCACCUUUGUAUUUUUAUUGGAGAGCCUCCCAUAUCUCUUUUGAUGUUUCUGCGGAAGCAAUAAUCUCAAAUAUGGCUUCAUCAAGACCUUGAUAGAUGAUAGUCUUUGCUUUGUUGUAUUUCUUCCUAUUGGCUUUGAGGACUUGCUUAUCUGCCUCUUGUAGAGCAUCUUCUGCUUUUUUGGACUCUAGUUUGUCAUAACCAUAUUGCACAAUCUCUAUACACUCUUGUGAACCAAGAAAUGCCUUCAAUCUGAUACAUCAACUAUCAUAGUUGUCUUUGGUCAGCUUUGGAAUGAGUGUUUGUGCAUUUUCUGUAGUCAUUUUGCUCUUUGAAUGACUAUAUCACCUUCUAGGAGUUGAAUUUGGCAAAACAGAUACUGUAGAUGGAUCCGGAAUGCUCAAAAUAGUAGGGAAUCGGUCUGAUUUGGUUGAAAAUGGGUCAGAAAUGGGCUGAACUGGUCAGACAAACGAUUUUGGACGUCGGACGGUUCGCUGGGGUUGAACUGGGAAUAUUCUGGGGAAUAUUCUUUUGGCUCGGCUAGCGGCGGCUCGACACGGCUCAAAUAUAGCGCGUGUGCACUCCAGUCGUCUUCUACCUCUGGGCGCAUCAACUGAGAGUGAGCUACAGUGCUGAACUUUCUGUAAAACUUAAGAGACAAAGAGAAUUGAAUCUGCUUGAACGAUAUUAUUGAUCUCUGUAUCUUUACAUGUAUUUAUAGAAGCAGGAUUCCUUAUACAAGCAGGAUUCCUUACAUAGGUAGGAUUCUAGGCUUUCCUUCCUAUUAGGAAUCAAUUACUACAUUGUAAGUUAUCGUUACAAUAGGAAAGUAAAUAUGUACAAAUUGUUUAUUCCUAAUGUGGAGAUUGUGGAAUUACUAACACCCCCCCUCAAGUUGGAGAGUGGAUAUCUUGCACUCCCAACUUGUGAAUCAUCGAAAGAAACAUUUCUUUCCCCAAGGGCUUGGUCAAGAUGUCAGCCAAUUGAUGUUCAGAAUGUACAUGCCUUGUAGUGACGGAACCAUCUUGAAUCUUGUCUCUAAUGUAAUGACAAUCCAUCUCAAUAUGUCUCGUUCGCUCGUGAAAGAUUGGAUUUGCUGCAAUAUGCAAGGCAGCCUUGUUGUCACAAUACAAUAAAGCCGGUUUGUGAUGCAAAAGUCCUAAAUCCUUCAAUAGGUAUCGAAGCCAUGUCAAUUCACAACAUGCUCCCGUCAUUGCGCGAUACUCGGCCUCUGCAGAAGAUAAUGAAACUGUCUCUUGUCUUUUUGAUUUCCAAGAUAUCAAUGAAGGACCAAGGAAUACACAAUACCCUGUAGUAGAUCUCCUGGUGAGUGGGCAACCUGCCCAGUCUGAGUCACAAUAGGCUCUCAAUCUGAAAUCAGUGUUUGAAGAGAAAAACAAGCCUUUACCAGGUGCACCCUUUAGAUAUCUCACAACCCGUAGAGCUGCUUCCAUAUGAAGCUUACGAGGUUGAUGCAUAAAUCUACUUAGGACAUGGACAACAUACGUUAUAUCUGGCCUUGAUACAGUUAAGUAGAUUAAUCUACCUACUAAUCUUCUAAACCGACCCGGCUCUUUGAUUAAAUCACUUUUAUCUGACAAUUUCAAACCAUGUUCCAUAGGAGUAUCAAUAGGAGCGGCACCCAACAACCCCGCAUCCUCAAUUAUAUCUAAAGCAUAUUUACGUUGGGAAAUAAAGAUCUCAUUUGUAGAAGCUGAAACCUCAAUCCCAAGAAAGUAUUUAACAGUGCCAAGAUCUUUAAUGUGAAAAAGAUUAUGCAGGAAGGUUUUAGUGGCAGUAAUGCUAAUGGGAUCAUUUCCAAUAAUCAGAAUGUCAUCAACGUAUAUUAGAAGGGCUGUGAAGGACUUGCCUUGCUGUUUGGUGAACAGGGAAUGGUCAGCUUGGGAUUGUUCAUAGCCAGUAGAGCGAAUUGCUUCUGAGAAUUUUGCAAACCACUGACGAGAUGUUUGCUUUAACCCGCACAAAGACAUAUGGAGGCGACAUACCAGAUGUUCCUCCCCCUGUCGCAGGAGCCCGGGCGGCGGGGACAUAAAUUUCCUCAGAUAAAUCGUCGUGAAGGAAGGCAUUAUUGACAUCCAUUUGGUGGAGAGACCAACCGCAAGCGGCAGCUAAUGGAAAUAAGCAGCGAACGGAGACAAUUUUGGCAGUGGGAGAAAAGGUCUUCUGGUAGUCAACACCUUCAAGUUGGGUGAAGCCCUUGGCAACUAAGCGGGCUUUAUAUAUGUCAAUGGAGCCAUUAGAGUGAUGUUUGAGCUUGUAAACCCAGCGGCAACCAAUCAGAGUUUUGCCCGGUGGAAGGGUAGUGAGAGACCAUGUGCCAUUGUGAUGGAGAGCUUUUAAUUCAGAACGCAUAGCUUCCUGCCAUUGUGGAUGAGCAGAGGCUUCGGAGUAAGAAGUAGGCUCUAGGACCUUACUAAGUUGAGCAACAAAGGAAAGAUGAGCAGGUGUAUAUCUGUGAUAAGAAAUGUAAUUGACCAGUGGAUAACGUGUACCUCUGUUUGGACCUGGUAGCAAGGAGAUCGAUUGGUAGGAGUAAAUAGUGGAGCAGAAAUAAUCAUGGAGUUUGACCGGGGAACAGUAUGGCGGCUAGAGCGGCGAAGCAAAGGGGGGUCGGGUGAGGGCAAAGGGGUGGGAUGUGUGGUGUUUGAUGAUGGUGGAGUGGGAUUGAGAGGAGGAGAGGUUGGUGAUGUGGGCUGGUAAGGCAUACCGUCAGAGACGGUGGUGUCGCAGCGGUCAAGAGGGUCAGAAUGUGAGGUAGAGGGAACAUAAGGUUUGGGUCGGCGGGUGUAUGUAUGGAGAAGAGGUGGUGGAUUGGGAGAUGGAGAUGGAGGAGGAGAGAUUUGGGUAGGUGAUGAUGUGGAUGUGGUUGGUGUGAAAGUAGAGGGUAGGUAGGUGUUAUGGAGAGAAAGAGGAUUUGGGUCAGGUUCGUGAGGUAGGGGAGGAAUAGUGUGGUUGGGGUUUACAGAAGCAUAAGGAAAAAUGUGUUCAUAAAACAGUACAUCUUGACUGGUAAAAAUUUUGUUGUUUGAUAAAUCAAAUAAUUUAAAAGCUUUUUGACCAGUGGGAUAGCCGAUAAAGAUAGAAGGGAUAGAACGAUGCUCAAAUUUGUGAGACGGAUGAACAUUAGUGGCAUAUGCUAAACACCCAAAGACACGAAGAUGAGAGAAUGAUGGUGGUUUAGAGUAAAGAAGUUCAAAAGGGUUGUGGAAAAAGAGAAUAGGAGAGGGAAGACGAUUAAUGAUGUGUGUGGCAGUAGGUGCGUACUCACCCCAAAAUUAGGUAGGUAGGUGGGCUUGGAAUCUUAAGGCGCGAGCUACCUGUAAAAUAUGACGAUGUUUGCGUUCCACAACCCUAUUUUGUUUAAGCGUGUAAACACAAGAAUGUUGGAAAACAACACCAUUAUCAUGAAAGAAAGAUCGAAGUGAGAGAAAUUCACCACCAUUAUCACUUCGAAAAGUUUUAAUGCGGUUGUUAAAUUGAGUGAGAACAUAACUAAAGAAACGUCUUAAGAGUGAUUGUGCUUCACUUUUGUGUUGCAAGGUUUAUUGGACUGAAUAGAAAAAAUUUAAAAAUUCUUGGCAAGGAAAUUUAAACGAAGAGGAGAUGUAUGGCUUAAGCGAUUAUGCCAAAGAUCAGUGGGUGAUACGGUGAGAAUGCAGGUGGGAUCGUUCGUGGCUGAGGAAUGGUUGGUCAAGUUGUUCUUUGUUGCUAGAGCCACCAAAUAGUAUAGUCCCUUAUGUUGUUUACCCAAACCAAUCAUCCUCCUCGUAGCCAGAUCCUGCAAAAUACACCAACAAGGAAAGAAAAUUACUGAGCAAUUCAGGUCUCUUAUCAAGCGACUGACUAAUAUCAAAUCUACUUUGAAUGUAGGAACACAUAGCACAUUGUGUAAAUAAUAGACUGAAUUCAGAGGCAUUGAUCCUUUUGCAACAAUAUUAGCCUUGUCUCCACUAGGCAGGAGUACAGAAGGUAAUGAACAUCGAUUAUUUGUGCCAAGAGAUAAUUGAGGCGAAGAAGAGAUAUGAUCUGUCACCCCGCUAUCAAUGAUCCAACUACGGGAAGUGACUUUAGACAAACCUGGUUUAGCUGCUGUAUGUGGUUGAGAUUUGGACUCUGUACUUUUUGUGUCAAGAAGUGAGAGAAGUUGUUUUAAUUGGGCCUCUGAAAUCCCAAUAACUGGUUGUGCAUUUUCUUUGGACACAUGAUUCGCCGCAGAUUUAUUGUGAUAGUUGGUGUGUCUUGCACCCGACCCAUAUUUCGCCUUUGGGUGACCCGGUGGAUACCCAUGAAGUUCAUAGCAGGUUUGUACCCAAUGACAUGCCUCUCCACAGUGUGAGCAAUAAGGGCGUCCUCUGCCUGAACCAGAACGACGCCUAUCUUGAUGAAAUCGGCCGCCCCCGGUGAAAUUUUCUUUUGAUCGGGGAUCUGGCUCUCCAUAUGAGUGGUUAAAUCGAUCGAAUCUAGCCGACCCUCCAUUGAAAUUUCCAGUGGGUCUAUGGUUGCUGUUUCGAACUGUCAUGGCAGCGCUUGUUCUAAAAUCACUUACUGUGUGUGUCGAGCUUAGAAGACGUUGUUUUUCUUCUUGAGAGAUGAAGGAAUAUGCUUGGCGAACUGAAGGAAGGGGAUUCAUGAGGAGGAUCUGCCCGCGAACAGCACUGUAAGAAUCAUUUAAUCCCAUCAAAAACUGCAUCAAUUUUUGUUGGUCUUGUUGUUGUCCAUGUGUGGUGUCAUUAUAGGACGCCAGUUCAUCCUAUAGGCCUUUCAAUUUUGUGUAAUAUGCAGAAACAGAGAGUUGCUCUUGUCAAAGACAGGCAAUAUCUCGUUGGAUUUCAAAGAUACGGGGUGCGUUGCUUUGGGAGAAUCGUUCAUGAAGGUCUUCCCAAACCUCAUGAGCAGUAGAGUAAUAGAUUACACUAUCUGAAAUUUCUGGACUGAGAGUAUUAACGAUCCAGGAGUGAACCAUGUCAUUGCACCUAGACCAGGUUGCGUACUCUUCUUGAUCAAUUUCUUUUGAGGGGAUUUUGAUUGAAUCAUCGACAAAACCAAGUUUGUUUUUGGAAUUCAAGGCCAGAGUCAUGGCCCUUUUCCAAGUAGAAUAAUUGUCUCCAUUCAAAGGUUUUGGAAUUAAGAUCAUUCCUGGAUGAUCAGAAUGAUGAGUGAGGUAAGGGCUUGAGAGAUUUGCCUUUGAAACAUCCAUGGAAGAGUUUAGGAUGUGAUAGUGGAUCGAGAAUUUUUUCUGUCAAGCUUUGAUACCAUGUAAAACUUAAGAGACAAAGAGAAUUGAAUCUGCUUGAACGAUAUUAUUGAUAUCUGUAUCUUUACAUGUAUUCAUAGAAGCAGGAUUCCUUAUACAAGCACGAUUCCUUACAUAGGUAGGAUUCUAGGCUUUCCUUCCUAUUAGGAAUCAAUUACUACAUUGUAAGUUAUCGUUACAAUAGGAAAGUAAAUAUGUACAGAUUGUUUAUUCCUAAUGUGCAGAUUGUGGAAUUACUAACACUUUCAAGAGGCGCGUGUUAUCCACCUCUUGCUCCGAUGAAUCUGAUUUUUACACCGACGAGUUCGUAUGGAUGAACCCUACACUGUAGAAUGAUCAAAACUUGUUUUUGAGAACUUUGAAAAAUCAGAUGUAUCCCAACAACGCCUCUGUUUUCUGACGAACGAGACACUGAUACCAAUUGUUGGUGGGAGAAACCACUGGUGGUGGCUUUGAAACACUCAGAGGGGAUAAAACACAUUGUUUUAUUUCAACAACAAGAAACUUACAAAAUAAACAAAAGCUCUUAAUACACGCCUUCUGUUUUCUCUCUAGUGUUUCUCUCUUAUCUCUCCCACACACUAAUAAUAGCAUAAACUUAGUUGUCUAUUUAUACACAAAUUGAAAGUAAGAAAAAUUCUUAGCUGGCGGCUGGCGGCUGAUGGCUGGCGGUUUGACAAGUUGUUGGCGGUGACUGCAGGCGGUGGAUACAAGUGAUGGUUGUUGUUUUUGACCUUCUAGAAUGAGUUUAAUGCAACAACAAUGACAUGCAAGUUUACAGGAAAUUUACUAGCACUGUUAUCCAUAAAUAAAAGUACAAAUUUACACCACAUUUGCCAGUGAUUUCAACCCUGAGGAAAUGCCACCUCCUUCAAGGAUACAAACCUAAACCAAAGCAACCCAAUACGCCUAUUCUAAUAAUCCAUUAACCAUGAGACAUUGAAAAGGCACCCUCUUAAUUUCCACAAAUGUUGAGUAUUCCUUGCUCAUGGGCUGCUUCCAAGGUUCGCCGUCCAUCUGCAUAUAUGUAUCUUUCCAUUCUCCACUCCUUACUUCCAAUCGUAUUGCUGCAGCCUGAAAGAUACCAAUAAAACUUGUGAACAAGAAAGCAUUACUUCAAGAGAAUGGGGUUCAACCGUCAAAAGCAACACAAUGCCAGCCUAGGUCCUCUUUCCAUUCAUUCAGCAUUUAAGAACUUCAAAAUACGUAAUUAUCAACUGUGAACUAGGAUUAAGAAAUGGAUGUUUGGAUUUGGAUAAACCUGCUUCUAACAUUGAAUUAUAGUUGAUAAAUCUUUAACCAAAUUAUAAAUUCCAUCCAUCAAAUUGUUAAACCAAAAUAUUGUAUAACAAUACACUUCAUACAAAAGUAAUGCCAAAAAUUCAUGUGCACACACAUACACAUGCAUGCCAAAACACAAAAUGAAAAUUUCAAAAUAUAUAGAUUCUUGCUCAACAAUAUUUUAUAUUCAGUCUCUCAGAUGACUGCAACACAAUUUCUUUAGAGUUUAUGAUGGCGAACUAAUUUCUUUGAUAAGAUCCAACUGCCAGAUCAAAUACGCAAAAGAAAGAUCCAAGGAUCAUAUACUAUGAAGCUUCAAAGCAACAUAAUGUUAUCCCCCUUAUGUCCAAAAAAGAUUUUGUGUAGUUUUCUAAUAUGCAAGGGAUUACCAUGAAAAACUUACAAUUUUAACAAUUUUAAAUCUUUGUCUUGUUUGUCUUUCAGAAAUUUGAUGCAGUGGUUGGAGAUACAACGAUAGUGGCUUAUCGCUCAUCAUAUGUAGAUUUCACCUUGCCUUACUCGGAAUCAGGCAUAACAAUGGUGGUUUUGAUGAAACGCGAUGAGAGGGAUAACAUGUGGAUUUUCUUGAAGCCACUAAGCCCGAAACUUUGGUUAGUAACUGGACUAGCCUUCUUUGUCACAGGUUUAGUGGUAUGGGUGCUCGAACACCGUAUAAACAGAGAGUUUAGGGGAACACCAGAGCAACAACUAGGCAUUGUUAUCUGGUUCUCCUUCUCAACACUGGUCUUUGCACAUAGUAAUUAACUUCUCUAACUUUCGUGUUUUUGUCUUCUUUACUUUCUUUUCAUAAUUGAUUACAAGCGCAACUAAAAUGAAAUUCUGAUGUAUGAGCAUGAAUCAUUUUUUUUUAAUUUUUUUUUCCGUAAUAGGGGAGAGGCCAGAGAACAACUUGACAAGAUUUGUCUUGAUCAUAUGGAUAUUUGUGGUACUUAUUAUAUCUCAGAGUUACACUGCUAGCUUAGCCUCAAUGCUAACAGUACAGCGGAUGCAUCCCGCAUUUGUUGAUGUCACAGAGAUCAAGAGGAAUAAUUACUUUGUUGGACACCCGAAAGAUUCUUUUGUGAAAGAUUUCCUUAAAAACGAAUUACAUUUCAAUGACACGAUGUUGAGGGAAUAUAGCACUUCAGAGGAGUAUCACGAUGCGUUGUGUAGAGGAUCCCAUAAUGGUGGUGUCGCUGCUAUCUUCGAUGAAAUUCCCUACGUUAGACGCUUCCUUAACGACAAGUAUCGUUGCUCUAAAUUUCGAAUGGUAGGACCAACCUAUCAAACCGAUGGAUUUGGCUUUGUGAGUGACUCUCUCUCUCUUUUUCUGAAGUUGUUAGGUUUUAAGUAAAACUCCAUGAUUAUCAAGCUACUUAUAAUUAAGGCAAAAGGGAUCAUUAGCCAUUGUUAAGCAUGUAUAUAACUAUUACAGAACUUAAGCAGUGAGUAAACAUUUGAAGUUAUGGUACCAAAGCUGAAAUUAAUUAAUGUCUUAGUCAUAUGUUAUCUUUCAUUAAUGUCUAUUUAUUAGUAACAUCAUUAUCUUGAUAUUGUUUAGUCAGUUUUUACUUCUUUAGAUUUGAAACUUAUUUAUGAUAAGUUACAUAGCUCUUUAAAUGAAAGAGUUUAUGUUAUUUAUGUUUUCCUAAUUUUGUUGUGAUUGAUUUCAUCUAUAAAUAAGAGUUAAGGGAUGGCAGUAACUUAUGAAAAACAUUAUGCUCUUUGUUCUUUGCUGCAAGUUCUAUGUUCUUUGUUUUUCUAGUUAUGAUCAACAUUCAGUUCUAUAUAUACCUAUUAUCAACAAUUAGUAUCAGAGCUUUCUUUGAUCUUUGAAGGGAUUGUGAGUGAAACACGAGAGAUUAGUGAGGUUAAAUCAAAGCAGUUUUCUUUGAAGGGAUUGUGAGUGAAACACGAGAGAUUAGUGAGGUUAAAUCAAAGCAGUUUUCUUUGAAGGGAUUGUGAUUGAAACACGAGAGAUUAAAUGAGUUUUUUUUUUUAAAAGAUGGAUUCUGCAAAUUUUCCAGCAAAAACACCAGUGUUCACAGGGCAGAAUUUUGGUGUGUGGGCUGUGAAAAUAGAAAUUUAUCUCAAAGCUUUUGACUUGUGGGAGAUAGUGGAGAGCGAUAAGCAACCAACUGCACUAGGAAACAAUCCUACAAUCGCACAGAUGAAGUUUUUUAAUGAAGAAAAGGCAAAGCGAUUCAAAGCUCUUACUUGUCUUCAUAAUGCUGUGAGUGAAGAAAUCUUCACCAGAAUUAUAGCUUGUAAAUCUGCUAAAGAAACAUGGGAUAAACUAAAAGCAGAAUUUCAUGGAGAUGAGAAGUCAAGAAAGAUGCAAGUCUUGAACCUCAGAAGACAGUUUGAAGGACUGAAGAUGAAGGAAACCGAGACUAUCAAAGACUUCUCUUCUCAAAUUUCAAAACUUGUGAAUCAAGUGAGACUUUUGGGGGAAGAUUUUCCAGAGUCAAGAAUAGUAGAGAAGGUUCUGGUAAGUCUACCAGAGAAAUUUGAGCAUAAGAUUUGCUCUCUGGAAGAUUCAAAAGAUUUUUCAGAAAUGAGUCUUCAAGAAUUGGUUAAUGCAUUACAAGUGGUAGAGCAAAGGCAAGCUUACAAACAAUAAGAAACAAGUGAAAGAGCUUUUGUUGCAGUUUCCAAGAAGAGCCGGGCUAAGAAUUUUUACAGGAACAAUCAAGAAGGAAAAAGAGAAAGAGGGAAAAGCUGGCAAUCAAAUAAUUGGCAUCAGAAUAACAAAAAUAUCAUCUCUCGAGGGAAAGAAAAGAGAGAACAUUUCCCUCCCUGCAAAUUCUGUCAGAAAACAAAUCAUCUAGAAGCUUGGUGCUGGCUUAAGAAUGCACAAUGCAGAAGUUGCAAACAAUUUGGUCACAUCCAAAGGUUCUGCAAAAACAAAUCAGUAGCAGCGAAAGAAGCUUAUAUUGCGGGAAAUUCAGAAGCCAAGGAAGAUCAUUUAUUCAUGGCUACAUUAGAACAGAUGUGCAACACAGCAGAGGUAAACAAUUCAUCAUGGCUUAUUGAUAGUGGCUGCACCAAUCAUAUGACUGCAGAUUUGAGUUUAUUCAAGGAUUUGGAUAAAAGCUAUGUGUCCAAAGUCAGAAUUGGCAAUGGAGAGUAUGUGAAGGUUGAAAGCAAAGGGGCGAUUGAAGUUGAAACAAUGUCAGGUACAAAAACUCUAAAAAAUGUGCUUUAUGUACCUAAGAUUAAUCAGAAUCUAGUGAGUGUGGGACAAUUACUGGAAUCUGGCUACUCAUUAUCUUUUAGUGAUGGAAUGUGCAAUAUUAGAGACAAGAUGGGAAUACUACUUCUCCCUGCUAAGAUGAUGAAUAGAAGUUUUAAUAUUGAUUGGAAAGAAGCUUGUUUGAGUGUUAACACUUGUGUCUAUACUGAUUCUGUUUUAUAGCACAAAAGACUGGGGCAUUUCAAUUAUGCUACCUUAAAAAGGAUGGCUGAUCUGCAGAUGGCUUCUGGUUUACCAGAUAUACAAGAACAAUAUGAUAUUUGUGAAGCCUGUCAAUUAGGAAAACAGACUAGAAUUGUUUUUCCUGAUAAUGCAUUUAGAGCAUCAUCAAAGCUCUAGUUGGUACACACAUAUGUGUGUGGUCCGAUGCACAAUGAAUCUUUGAAUGGUUCAAAGUACUUUCUAUUAUUUAUUGAUGACUAUAGUAGAUUCUGUUGGGUUUAUUUUCUUAAAUCUAAGGCUGAUGUGUUUACUGAGUUUGUAAGAUUUAAGACAACAAUUGAACUAGAAACAGGAAACAAACUGAAGAUGCUGAGAUCUGAUAAUGGGGGUGAGUUUACCUUUCAAAAAUUUGAGGGAUAUUUAGCAAAAGAAAGGAUCAAACAUCAACUAACAGUGCCCUACACUCCACAACAGAAUGGAGUCAGUGAGAGGAGAAACCAAACAUUGAUGGAAAUGGCAAGAUGUUUGCUAUAUGAGAAGAAAAUGCCAUUAAAAUUCUGGGCAGAAGCAGUAAACACAGCAUCCGACCUUCUAAAUCGUAUAACCACAAAAGUAUUGGGAGACAAGACUCCUUAUGAAAUUUGGUAUGUCUUUAAACCUAAUGUUGAUUAUUUAAAAGUUUUUGGCAGCCCUUGUUAUGUCUUGCAACCUGAAGUUAAGAGAAGAAAACUUGAUCAGAAGGCUGAUAUGGGAAUUCUUAUAGGCUAUAGCACAAAAUCUAAGGCUUAUAAAAUCUAUGAUCUGAAAUCUAAUAAAGUUGUGAUUGCUAGAAAUGUAAAAGUUACAGAGAAUGGUAUAUGGAACUGGGAAGCUGCAUCAAUUGAAGGGACAAAACAUGAGUAUCAAAUUGAACUGGAUGCUACAGAGGAUGAUGAUACUAUCGAUGAAAAACCAGUAAGGGGGACAAGGUCCUUAGCUGACAUUUACAGCAGGUGCAAUGUUGCUGAAGCAGAACCAAUAGAUUUUAAAGAAGCUAUCAACUCACAAGUAUGGAUAGAUGCAAUGAAGGAGGAGAUCACGAUGAUAGAAAAGAAUGAAACAUGGAUACUGGUUGACAGACCCGUUCACAAGAAGGUAAUUGGUGUGAAAUGGAUUUUCAAAACCAAGUUGAAUGCAGAUGGGAGUAUCAACAAGCACAAAGCAAGACUUGUAGUGAAGGGUUAUUCACAAGAGCCAGGUAUUGACUUCACUGACACAUUUGCUCCAGUUUCUAGGCUUGAUAAAUAAAGCUCUUGCUUGCUCUAACAGCACAAAAUGGUUGGCAUAUUUUUCAGUUGGAUGUUAAGUCUGCAUUUCUGAAUGGUGUUCUAAAUGAAGAAAUAUAUGUUGAACAACCUGAUAGCUUUGAAAAGAAGAUCACACCAAACAAAGUAUAUUUGCUAAAGAAGGCUUUGUAUGGACUUAAACAGGCUCAUAGAGCCUAGUACAACAGAUUGGAUGGGUAUCUUUUGAGUUUAAGCUUUGAAAGAAGCAUGAAUGAAGUAACUUUGUAUGUGAAAAAUGUUGACAAACAUACUCUGAUCGUAUCAGUGUAUGUAGAUGAUUUAUUGAUUGCAGAAGACAAGGAGCAGCUGGUAGAGGAGUAUAAAACCAACAUGAAGGAUAAGUUUGAGAUAAAUGAACUUGGUUUGCUGUCAUACUUCUUAGGCAUGGAAGUAACUCAGUCAGAGCAAGGUUAUUUCCUAUGUCAAAAGAGGUUUACAAUGAAGCUACUAAACAAAUUUGCAAUGGAAAAUUGCAAACCAGUCAGUGCACCUAUGGUUCUGAGACAAGCUAAUGUAGGAGGAUGGAGCUCCUAAAACUAAUGGAAAAGCCUACAGAAGUUUAGUUAGCAGCUUGUUGUAUUUAACUGCUACACAUCCAGACAUUGUUUUUGCUGUUAAUUACCUCUCUAGGUUCAUGCAAAGUCCAAGUCAGAUACAUUUUGUUGCAGCCAAGAGAGUUCUGAGAUAUCUAAAAGGGACCUUAGAGUUUGGCAUGCAUUUUGUGAAAUCAAGUUCAGUUAAACUUGUUGGUUUUUCUGAUAGUGAUUGGGCUGGAAGUGAUGAAGAAAUGAUAAGCUCCUCAGGUGAUUGCUUUGCUAUUAGAGAAAGCAUUUUCUGUUGGAACUCAAAGAAGCAAUCAGUGGUUGCACAUUCCACUGCAGAGGCAGAAUACAUAGCAGUAUAUGUGGCAGCAAAGCAAUUGAUAUGGCUAAGGAAAAUGUUGAAUGAUCUAGACUUUGAUCAACGAAGUCCCACAGAAUUGUUCUGUGACAAUACAUCAGUAAUAGCUAUUUCAAAGAAUUUUGUUUUUCAUGACAGGACCAAGCAUAUGAAGAUCAAGUUCCAUGCUAUCAUGCAAUUCCAGCAAGAAGGGGAACUAGAGAUGAUAUACUACACUUCAAAAGAGCAAUUAGCAGACCUGUUCACCAAGCCUUUAGCUAAAGAUAGAUUUGAAGAUCUAAGGGAGAUGAUAGGAAUGUGCAGCUUUGGAACCAAGGAGAAGUGUUGAAGUUAUGGCACCAAAGCUGAAAUUAAUGUUUCAGCCAUAUGUUAUCUUUCAUUAAUGACUAUCUAUUAGUAACAUCAUUAUCUUGAUGUUGUUUAGUCAGUUUUUACUUCUUUAGAUUUGAAACUUAUUUAGGAUAAGUUACAUAGCUCUUUAAAUGAAAGAGUUUAUGUUAUUUAUGUUUCUUAAUUUUGUUGUGAUUGAUUUCAUCUAUAAAUAAGAGUUAAGGGAUGGCAGUAACCUAUGAAAAAUAUUAUGCUCUUUGUUUUUUGCUGCAAGUUCUAUGUUCUUUGUUUUUCUAGUUAUCAUCAACAUUCAGUUCUUUAUAUACCUAUUAUCAACAUAAACUUUCUAAUCAACUCGAUCUAUUUUAUUCUUCUUUUUUCAUUAUAGGCCUUCCCACCUAACUCCUCACUAGUCUCUCAUAUCUCAAAAGCAAUCUUGAAUGUCACUGAAGAUUGUUAAAAUAAUUAAGAUCAAACAUAAAUGGGAGGCUAGAAUUCUGAAUAAUCUGUAUAUUAUGAGUGCAUUAUGAGUGUUUAGUCUUAACCGAAAUACAAAUAAAGUAUAUAUAGGUUAAACUGAAAGUAAUAUUCUACCCUUAAUAAAUAAGACUACAUAAAUAUUAUUUAACAUCUCCCCUCAAAUUCACGAUGCGGCAGCUACAAGCAUCGAGAGUUUGCCAACCAGAAAAUGAAAACGAGAGAUGGAAUGCGCCUUGGUAAAGAAAUAUGCAAUCUGCAAGGAAGAAGGAACAAAAGGCAAAGCAAUGGUGCCAUAUUUGAGAUGAUGACGAGUAAGAUGAUAAUCGAUCUCAAUAUGCUUAGUUCGCUCAUGAAAAACCGAGUUGUGAGCCAUUUGAAUAGAACUCUGGUUGUCACAAUACAUAGGAGUAGGAUGAGAAAAGGAAACUCUCAUAUCAGCAAGUAACCAACGUAACCAAACAAUCUCUUUGGUAGUAGAUGUCAUGGCACGAUAUUCUGCUUCGGUGGAUGAUUGAGAAAAAAUAGAUUGUUUCUUGCUCUUCCAAGAAAUAAGAGAAUCACCUAAAAAGAUACAAAACCCGGUAACAGACUUGCAAUCUGUGGGAUCACUACCAUGAUCAACAUCAGAGUAUGCACGCAACUCCAAGGAAGAGGUGGAUGAAAGUAAAAGACUCUAAACAACUAUACCCCGAAGAUAUCACAAAAUACAAAGAACAGCUGCCCAGUGAACAAUAGUAGGAGAAGCAACAAACUGACUAACAACAUGAACAACAUAUGCAAUAUCUGGACGAGUAAUGGUGAGAUAUACCAAACUCCCAACAAUAGUGCGGUAUAAAGUAGGAUCUAUCAAAGGUAAACCAUCAGAAGAAGAAUACCUUGCGUUAACCUCAAUAGGAGUAUCUAGAAUCUUGUUAUUAGUAAGUCUAGCCCGCUCAAGAAUAUCUGCAACAUAUUUCGACUGAGAAAGAAGGUAACCUCUAAUAUUAUAAGGGUUGUAUGAUUAUAGUUGUUUGUUGUAAACAACUAGAGAGGAGGAAUUAUUAAGAGGUUAUAAAUUACUUCUCACAUGGUGCAAAUUAGAGGGCAAAGCUUCUCUCCUUUUUUUUUUCUCUUCCUCAAACUUGAAACCUAUUUUUUCCUCUUUUAGUCACCCCUUGUUAGUGGAAUCUUCUAAAAUACAUUCUUUAAUAUUUAAUUCUAACUGGCUUUAUUAACACAUUACUUUUUCUAACCACUCACCAAACGAUGUUAAUAACUCACUUUUACACCCACAUCCGCAGCCUUAAGAAUUACUCAUGUAAAAAUUACUCUUGUAAUUAUUAUCACCAUUUUCUAACCUUGUACCAAACGCAACCUAAGCCAUAGAUCACAACCAUCACAUGGAGAUAGAUACUCAACAGAGCAAAAUUGACUAGUGUGAAAAAUAGACUCGGAGGACAGAUGUGUGAUACCUUUUCCAAAUACUGUCGUUUAGGACUACCCCAUGGAUUUCUUCCACUCCCAUAAUUGUGAAGAUUUAAAGCAACAAUCGCUCUUACACUAUUUGUUCUGGUUUGAUUUUUUUUUUAGCUAGGAUCCAAGACUUGUUAGGAUUAGGGUUUGAGCUUACUAGUAAAAGUUUUGGGUCAGUUUUUGUAAAUGGAUCAAUUCAGCCCAUAAGGGUGGAUCAAUUAGGGUUAAUUUCUCAAAACUAUUUAAACAUACGUAAAGCCUAAAUUCCAAAACCUUUGAUGAAUAACACUUAUGAACUUUUCAGUUUAAAGUGUGAGAGAGAUUCUUUUAUUUUUUUUGUUCUUAAACGAACUCAAUCUGUCUUAUCAAAGAUUAACUAGCUUUAUGAUAUCAUUCGACUUCAUUCCAAUAGUGCUGAUGCAUUGAGAUAUGUUUUUAUUGUGUCACAUUCCUAUUAGACCUCUCUUUGCUUUCUGAGAUGAGAUCUCAAUCUUGAUUGUGAGUUGCAUGACCAUGUAAUCAUGAGAUUCGCAUCAGUUGGUAUCAGAGCUAUGCUCUAAAAACAGGUUAUAUCUUUCUAAAUUUUUUAUUUUCCUAGUGUUCGUUAAGUUUUUUUAGUGUUUGCAUCAGUAGUUAAAAUGAUUAAUAGUGAAUUACUAAAAUGAUUUUUGUUUCUUUUAACAACAGUAAGAGAAUCAUGAUUUCCAAAAAUACAUAUUGCAACUUAUACCUUGACGGUGUUGGGGCCUAUUCGAAGUUAAAACGAUAAAUUAAACUUUGCCAAAACUUCCAAACAUUAUUUAAAACAGAUAUUUUAAUUUUCUUGAGAUUUUCAUUUACAAUUUAGAGCAUUGGACUCUAGUCAAAAUCUAGCAAGCAAGAUUUAAUUGACCCAAAACAACUUGAAUUAACUUGUUAAACUCGUAAUUUAAGUUAUGAAUUUAACUGAGCUUGAUAACAUUAUUUUUUAAGAAAUAAUUUUUAUUUAAGUAUAUAAAAAUAAAAAUAUACACUAUUAGAAACGCAAUUAGAUAAGAUUAAAAAAAAAUAAUGGUUUGCAAAAAAAAUGCUUACAUUAUAAAAAUAUGAAUAAAAGCAAUGUAAAAAUUGAAUGGUAUGUAAUAAAAUAAUAUACAAAAUAUAUUCUUAAUUAAAUUUAAUAAAUUAAUAUAUUUAUAUUAUCUUAAAUUAAUUAAUUUUUAAAAAAUAAAUUUAAACUAGAUAAUAUAUAUAUAUAUAUAUAUAAUCUUUUUCUCAUUAUUUUUUGUUUUAAACUCCUUUUGUUUUCUCAAUUUCUUUUUUUUUUUCUCAUUUCCUUUUGUUUAGAUUUUUUUUCUUCUCUCUUUCUUUUUAAUUUUCUUUUCACUGAUGCCCGUAAAAAUAUUAAAAAUCAUGGAGACAUAUAAAUAUAGUUAAAUUGCAAGAAAUGGAAUAAAUUAUAUGAAAAUAGUUAAAGCUUGAUUAUCAUUUUUUAUAUAUUGUUAUUGAUAUGCAUAUUUCCAACAAUUAAAGACUUCAUUUUCAUACCAUAUUGAAUCCAUUGAUAUCUAAUUUUAAUGUGUUUUGAUCGAGAAUGGAUAGUAUGAUGUUCACUAAAAUGACUUGAAUUUUGGAUGUCACGAUGCAACUCAAAGUUCUUUUACAUUGGGCCAAAUUCAUAUAAGAAUUUUUGUACCCUUAACAACUAUUUGUCAUUUUCAGUAAGAGCAAUGUAUUCAACCUUUGUAGUGGAUAAUUUAACUAUUAGGCCAAGUUCAUAUUUUUGCAUCAUUAAUUGCUAUGAAUCUGCUUCCUUGCAAAAGUCAUUAAGUAUCUCGAUGUGAAUUUUCUGAAAUCAACAUUACUAGCUAUACAUGUAUUUAUAUAUCCAUCUAGAAUAGGUUUAUCAUUUUCAAAACAUAGACUAAAACUAAAAGUGCAUUUGAGAUACUUAAAUAUCCAUCUUUUUUUUUUAACAUAUCUCUCGUGAAAUAGCCAAAAUUUCUCAUUAUUUUAUGUUACUUCAUGGAGAAAUUUGGUGUCAGACGAAAAAGUCAGAAUAGCCAUGGUGGAACUAAAAAACCACAGUAACCCUCCCAGCACAACCUAACUUCUGAUAGAUUAAGGGUAAAAACAGUGUUAUCACUAUUAAUAUCCACAAUUAAAUUAGUUUGUAUCCACAAUAUCAUUCACAGUAAAAUUGCCAUAACUCUAUUUAAAAAAAAAAAUUGACAAAUGUUUUGUCGAAUCAUGCCCCCACUUAAUAUCAUGCCAUGCUAUCGUUAGAAAUAAAGUUCAUUUUUACAAUUUAAAAUAUAGCAUAUUUUAAUUAAAAAACUGACUUUACAAAAUGCAGCACUGGAUUUAAUGAAAAAUGAAGAAGUUGAAGCAAUGAUGUAAUGCUAAGUUAUAUUUUUAUCUUUUCUCUUCCUUGGCUUUUUGAUAAUCAUGCAAUGCUAAGUUAUUUUUUUUGGUUGAAAAGAUAUAGAAGCCUUCAGAUUUCUAAAAAAAAAUAUUUUUGUUUUAAAUUAAUUGUUUUGGUGGUUUUAGAUUGUUCUAAUAUGUUAAUAUCGAAAAAAAAUUUUAAAAAAUAAAAUAAAAUAUUAUUUUAAUAGAUUUAUAAACAAAAAAAUACUUUUAAAAAAAAUUGUUACCACAGUACCAAAUAGAAUUUCUAACCUCUUGGUUGUGUUUGUUUAUGUGACUCUAUGGUGUGUUUUAACUUAUUUUUUAUUUUAAAAAUAUUAAAUUAAUAUUUUGAGAGAUGAAUGUAGCUAUACUAUACUACAAACCUUCAAUGGCUUUUCCUUUUUCUUCAACAAUACCGCAAGAAGCUUGAAAUCAAAUGUGGUUCAUGCAUUGAUGUUUUCUUGCAUGUUACAGUAUCACUAUUUCACUCUUGAAGUGUUUUGCUUUUUAUAUCUUAUUUUUUUGUAUUUAAUUUUGUGAAUUAUUUAAUAAAUAGUGAAGCACCAUCAUAAAUCCCAAUUCUUUUAAUUUUUAUAAUUCGGCUUACUCUUAAUUACUACAAGUGUUUGGAUGGAUUUUCUUGGUUAUGCUUUGGAAAAUACAGUUUGGAUAAAAAUUAUGGAUAUAAUAUCUAACCCUCCCUCCAAUAUAUAUAUAUAUAUAUAUAUAUAAUCUUUUUCUCAUUGUUUUUUGUUUUAAUCCUUUUGUUUUCUCAAUUUUUUUUUCUCAAUUCCUUUUGUUUAGAUUUUUUUCUUCUUUCUAUUCUUUUUAAUUUUCUUUUCGCUAAUGCCCGUAAAAAUAUUACCUGAAAGAGAACAGACUGAAAGAGAACUUCUAUGCUGCCAAGUCCAUGAUUAAACCCCUCGGUUUAGGAUACUAGAAAAUUGACAUGUGCCCUAACUUCUACAUGUUAUACUACCUUGAAAAUGCUGAGCUGACCGAGUGCAUGACAUGUGGGCAUUCCCGUUACAAACCCAGAACUGGCAGAGGAAAGACUCUUGUGGCAUAUAAAAAACUUAGAUACUUCCCAAUCACACCUAGACUGCAAAAGUUAUUCAUGUCACCAAGGACCGCUGAGCACAUGACAUGACACAAAUCACAUCAUGCGGUUGAUGGAGUGAUGGUGCAUCCUUUUGACGGCAAAGCAUGGAAACACUUUAACAGUGUGCAUCCUCACUUUUCAGCUAAAUCAAGGAACGUGCAUCUUGGGUUGUGUACAGAUGGAUUCAACCCAUUUGAGUCAUUUGCUGCUCCUUAUUCUUGUUGGCCGGUCAUAUUGACGGUUUAUAACUUGCCACCGAGGAUGUGUAUGAGGGCGGAGUUCAUGUUUUUAUCUAUGGUCAUACCAGGUCCGAGCAGUCCGGGGCGGAAUAUAGAUGUUUAUCUUCGACCGUUGAUUGAUGAGUUGACAUAGUUGUGGUCCUCUGGAGCUUUGACUUAUAAUAUCUCGAGGAAACAUAAUUUGGUAUGAGAGCGGCUUUGAUGUGGAUUAUCAAUGAUUUCCUAGCUUAUGGAAUGGUUUCUGGUUGGAGCACGCAUGGAAAACUAGCAUGUCCAUACUCUAUGGAGAACAACAAGGCAUUCACACUAACAAACAGGGGUAAAGCUUUUUUUUUUACUGUCACCGUCGUUUCUUGCCACCGAAUCACAGGUACUGAAAGAACAAAAAAGAUUUCUUUGUUGGUAGAGUUGAAAAGGAUGUUGCACCCCCACGUCUUUCUGGUGAAGAAUUGCAUGAUGUUGUGUCAGAGUACGGUAUUGUGUUUGGUCUCCAAUCAGGUAAGCAUAAGUUUCCUGGUUUUGGUUUGACCCAUAAUUAGGUGAAGCGAAGUAUCUUUUAGGAGUUUCCUUAUUGGAAGACCAAUCUUCUUCGUCAUAAUCUUGACGUCAUGCACAUUGAAAACAACGUAUUUGAGAACAUUUUCAACACCGUCAUGGAUGUGAAGGGGAAGACAAAAGACAACAUCAAGGCUAGAUUGGAUGUAGCGUUGUUCUGUAACCGUAAAAAUAUAGAGUUGGUUUGUGAUGGGUCAUGGGUCGCAAAACCAAGACCAAGCUUCGUGUUAAAGAAAAACGCACAACUACUAGUCUACAAAUGGCUUAAGAGUCUGCGUUUCCCCGAUGGACAUGCCUCGAACAUAUCAAGGUUGUUUAAUACGGAGGAAUGCAAAUUAUUUGGAAUGAAGAGUCAUGACUGCCAUGUGUUUAUGCAAACACUCAUCCCAUUAGCUUUUCGUGAUUUGUUGCAAAAGGAGAUAUGGGAUGCACUCACGAAGAUCAGUCAUUUCUUCAGAGAUAUAUGCUCCAGCAAGAUGAAUGUUGAUCACAUUGAAAGGCUUGAAAUGAAUAUCGUGGAGACAAUAUGCAAACUUGAGAUGAUAUUCCCUCCAUUAUUUUUUGACUAAAUGGAGCAUCUAUCUGUACAUUUACUGUUUGAGGUAAAAGUUGGAGGACCGGCCCAGUACAGAUGGAUGUAUCCAUUCGAGAGGUUAGAUAUUACAAUUGCUAUGUAAUUCAUAAUUAAACAUUUCUUAAUUUUUUUAAUUGAUAAUUUUUAAUUAAUUCUAUAUAUGUAGGUACUUGUUCAAUCUUAAAAAAAAAGGUUAAGAACAAGGCGUAUGUUGAGGCAUCAAUAUGUGAGGCCUAUAUUGUUGAGGAGAUCUCAACAUUUAUCUCAUACUAUUUCGAACCUCAUUUGAGAACGAAGAUCAACCGUGUUCCACAGCAUGAUGAUGGUCGUGAAGUGCCUUUAAGUGGAAACUUGUCAAUAUUCUCCAAUCCUGGACGACCCACACCUAAAAAUAUCGUGAGGGGAAGAUAUUUGUCUGAAAUAGAGUUCAGACAAGCACACAAUUAUGUCAUAUUUAACUGCGAUGAGCUGAGACCUUUUAUUAAGUAAGUAGAUGUUCGACUUAAACUUUGUCAAAAGUGUAUUUAUGUUUUGUGAUACCAUAAACUCAUAUAAUUUGGAACAAUCUUGCAGGCAACAUCAACGAUACUUACUAUCCAAUAACUCACAGCUAACUGAAUCCCAGAUCUUUCAAUUACAAGAUGAACAAUUUGCCACAUGGUUUAGAACACAUGUAAGUCCUAUCACAAACUCAUUAUCUCUUGCAAUGUAAUUAAUUGUACGUCAAUAUUACAGAAUAUCCGUUUAUUGAUUAUUGUUGUAUUUGAUAUACAAGAUUUAUCAAAUGGGAGGUAGUGCUGCUAUUUCACUGUCUUUACUAAGCUUGUGCCCUAAAAGAAAAUUCAAGUGCUAUAACGAGUAUUUUGUCAAUUGAUAUGUCUUUCAUACUGAAGAAUACGGGCAUGGAAGAAAGACAUACAACAGCGGUGUUUGUAUUAAGGGAUCGACUUCUAGUGAGUUUGGAGUUGACUACUACGGUAGAUUGGAAGAGGUCAUCAAAUUGCAAUAUCAUAGCGAGCAGAAUAGAGUGUUUUUAUUCAAAUGCUAUUGAUAUGACACAACUGACAAAGGAAUCAGAGUAGAUCCUCACUAUGGUCUCGUUGAAAUCAACUCAAAAGCUAGACACCGUAACGUAAACGAUGUCUUUGUUUUCGCAAAGCAAUGCCAACAAGUUUAUUACACAUACACCCCUUCCUUUAGAAAGAACCAAUCAAGAGUUGAUUGGUAAUCCGUUUUAAAAACCAAACCCAAGGGUCGUGUCGAGGUUGUUCAGGAUGAGAACGAAGACACAAGUGUGAUAGAUGAAGUCUUUCUAGCUAGUGAGGUUGUUGAACCAUACCGAGUUGCUCCUUCGAUUGACUUAGACGAAAAUUUAAAUUUUCGUGUUUUCGACGAUAGUGUUGUUGAUGUUGAUACAGAGGAGUUGAAUGCUGUUUUGAGCUCUAGUGAAGAGUGCGAUGAAGAUGAUAACAAUUCAAUUGAGGACGAAGACGAAAAUUCUGACAAAAUAUGUUGUAAAGCUUUAUUUUUAUAAUGUAAUAUCAAGGAUGAUAUUUUGAAACAUGGAAUAUUUAUUUUAUAAUUGCCAGCUCUUGUUAUUGUGUUGUGCGUGCUGUAAGUUUGCAAUUCAAGAACAGCACUUGCAAAAAAAUUGUCAGUUUUACCGAAAAUAAAUAUGUUAAUAUCAAAAUAAAUUUUAAAAAAUAAAAUAAAAUAUUAUUUUAAUAGAUUUAUAAACAAAAAAAACUACUUUUAAAAAAAAAUGUUACCACAGGACCAAAUAGAAUUUCUAACCUCUUGGUUGUGUUUUUUUAUGUGACUCAAUGGUGUUUUUGAACUUAUUUUUUAUUUUAAAAAUAUUAAAUUAAUAUUUUGAGAGAUGAAUGUAGCUCUACUAUACUACAAACCUUCAAUGGCUUUUCCUUUUUCUUCAACAAUACCGCAAGAAGCUUGAAAUCAAAUGUGGUUCAUGCAUUGAUGUUUUCUUGCAUGUUACAGUUUCACUAUUUCACUCUUGAAGUGUUUUGCUUUUUAUAUCUUAUUUUUUUGUAUUUAAUUUUGUGAAUUAUUUAAUAAAUAGUGAAGCACCAUCAUAAAUCCCAAUUCUUUUAAUUUUUAUAAUUCGGCUUACUCUUAAUUACUACAAGUGUUUGGAUGGAUUUUUUUGGUUAUGCUUUGGAAAAUACAGUUUGGAUAAAAAAUAUGGAUAUAAUAUCUAACCCUCCCUCCAAAAUAUAUAUAUAUAUAUAUAUAUAUAUAUAUAUAUAUAUAUAUAUAUAUAAUAUUUUUCUCAUUGUUUUUUGUUUUAAUCCUUUUGUUUUUUCAAUUUGUUUUUUUUUUCUAAUUUCCUUUUGUUUAGAUAUUUUUUCUUCUCUCUAUUCUUUUUAAUUUUCUUUUCACUAAUGCCCGUAAAAGUAUUAAAAAUCAUGAAAACAUGUAAAUAUAGUUAAAUUCCAAGAAAUGGAAUAAAUUAUAUGAAAAUAGUUAAAGUUUGUGAAAUAGGAUAAAUUUUCUUUUCUUUUGCUUAUUUCUGGUUUUCUUUUUAAUUUUCUUUUCACUGAUGCCCGUAAAAGUAUUAAAAAUCAUGAAAACAUGUAAAUAUAGUUAAAUUCCAAGAAAUGGAAUAAAUUAUAUGAAAAUAGUUAAAGUUUGUGAAAUAGGAUAAAUUUUCUUUUCUUUUGCUUAUUUCUGGUUUUCUUUUUAAUUUUCUUUUUAUAAACUUUGUAUGGUUGAGAUUUGGGUAUGAAACAAAAAUCUCAUGUUAUGUGCCUUAUAACGCAAAUUUAAGAUGAGUUUGUGCCCGAGUCAACUUCAGAAUGGUCCGCAAUGGUUGAUUAACAGGUCUGAAUUAUAGUGUACCUAUAAUAAAAAAUAUUACAGCUAAUUCUUUUUUUUUUUAGUUUAACGUGGGUAUCCGGGCCAGCUUGCGCGCACCUCGACUAAUCCCACGGGCCCUGAAGUUAAUGACCAUGUAAGCCUCCAGUGGCCAUCAUAUGAGCAACAACAGGGCUUGAACCUGAGACCACAGAGAAAGCAAACUUCUUGGUCCCAAACUUUUACUAUUAGAUCACCACCUAGACGGUUUAAUUCUUGUAUCUGAUGUCGUGGUUAUAGAUAUGCCAUAAAUUUAAUUUUUAUUUUAUAAUCAUAUCCACGUUAUAUAUUUUCUAAAACAAAAAAAUACAUGUUAAAAUAUUUUACACCACAAAAAUAAACGUUGACAGAGUCCAGUGAAAGAUGCAUCUGACCUGCCGCUACCAUCUGGAAGAAAACAACCUUUUCCUCUCUGCAUGUUUGACUCUAUGAAUCACAAUUGUUAUUUAUCGAUCUUGCUGCCUUUUCACUGCCUUUUCAAAUAUAUUUUCUUAAAUAAUACAAUUUAAUAAAAGUCAAACUUUUCACUGCCUUUUAAAAUAUCACAGUCGGAAAGUGUGACUUUUUCAAAAUACAUACAGUACAGGGAAAAAAAAAGGGAAAAAAAGAAAGUACAAAUAAAUCUCAAAAUAAACAUGAUUUAGUUAGAAGAUAUUUCUUAUUGUUUAAUAAAAAUGAACAAUAAAAAUGAUUAAGUGAAAAAUGAUAUUGUUGCGUCGCUAUUUGCAAUUAUGUCAUCACGAUAUAUUUAAUAUUUAAAAAUAAAAAAAGAAAAAAGAAAGUAUAUAUUGUACCAAUAAAUCUCAAAAUAAACACGUAUGGUCAAUUUAUUUUGCCUUCCUGGUUAUUAACUAUAAAUUAAAAGAGAUGAGUUUUAAUUAAUAUUUUUUAUAUUUAAUGUGCUGAUAUUUGAUAUUAAAAGAGCUAAAAAUAUUAUUUUACUAUAUUUUUAAAUAAAAAAUAAAGAGUCACUGCCGCGUGAGAAACAUUUAAUUUUUACAAUUACACAACAUGGUCGCGACAAGUACGUCCAAAUAUGAGCCAGCUAAAAUUUGCUAAUGGCUCCACAAAUAUUAAGCAUAACCAGAGUUGCCAUCAACAACAAUCUUCAUGAGAAUGGCAAAGCAGAAAAGCUUCUGCUGUUUUCUUUGCUUUCUCUCAGUUAUUCUGUGGAGUGAGCAGGUGACAAUGGGGAAGGUGAUUAUACGAGUAGGAGUGGUUCUUGAUAUGAACUCAGUAGUCGGAAAAACGGCAGAGAACUGCAUAUCUGCUGCAGCAAACGAUUUUUAUGCUAGGAAUGCUGAUUAUCGGACUAGAAUCUCUCUUGUCACCAGGGAUUCCAAAGGGGACGUCGUAACAGCAGCAUCUGCAGGUACCACUUCCCUAAAUAUUCACCCACGAAAUCGAAUACAUGAUCACACGACGACAAAGAGGGAAGUGGGCCACUGGCCACUUUUGUCUUGUGUUCUACCUAAAAUGCACUGUAUAUGUAAAGAUCAUAACAGCAAAUUUUCAGAUGCUUAAUUUAUUCAUUUUAUACUCUCUCUCUCAGUGUGUUUUUAAACCAGAUCUUGUGCUUAAAGCACUAGCUAGCUAGAAUUGAUGGUAUUUUUCAAUGAUUUUUUUUUCCUUUUUAUUGUUAUUUAUAUUUUUCAAUAAUCUCAUAUUUAAUAUAUAUUUGAUGAUGUGAUUGAUAUUGCAAUUGAAUUUAUAAAAAAAAAUCUAGAAUUAAUUGUUUUUACAUUUUCAAUUGUUUUUUUUAUCGCUAUAUCAAAUAGGGUUUUAUGUCUAGUUUAUAGGAUUUUUUUUAGUGCGAUUCUACAUUUUAUUUGAUAGUUUACUUAUUUUUAUUUUAAAAAUUUGUGAAGGUUUUGAGAUAGUUUGGCGUUCAAGUAUUUUAUCUGAAAAUGAGUAGUAAUACAAAAUUAACUAAAUUCAUUGCCUACAACGAGUUUGUUGAGAAAAUUCAUCAAUAUAUCAAAUUCAUCAUCCACAACUCCUACUUCUCUCUCAUUUUGUAAUUAAAAUAAACUUAAUCAACCAACAACAUUAAGAAUCAUUCAUAUAAAUCAGCAUCAAAAAAUUUUAUUCGGUAUUGGAAAAAUAUCGGCAUCUUAAUACAUCUCAAAACUUUCACUAUAUAAUAGAAUUAUAAAAUAUUUAUUUUUUUUCAAAAUAAAAAGAUUGAAGAAUAAAUUAUUCUUGAAAUACAAUAAGAUUAAAUUGAAAAGUUGAGAGAAAUCCUCGCAAAACUAAUACCCUUUAUUUUAUGACAAAAUGAUCAACUUUAACACUUUAAUUUUAAAUUCAACUGUAUAGAAAUGAAGAGUUAUAUUUCUAGAACUUUGAUUUUAGCUCGAUAAAAUGGUGAAUGAGCUUCAAAUAUGAGGAGAUUGAAGACAGGCUGCUCAUGCUGUCUCUUUUUGGUUUUUCUCCUGGUGCGCUCUUCUCUUUUUCUCUUACAAAACCCAUUGCAGCUUUUUUAUAUUUAAAUGAGAGGUAUACAAACACCAUGUCUCUUUUAGUUUUUAGUUUUAUUUGGUGUGAGACCCUAACAAAUCUCCCCCUCAUGUAUCAUGUGUGGAGUUUUUUUUACCGGCGAUCAGCUUGUAAGUUUUAAUUUGAUAGGUUCUACCAAGCCCGUUUGUCUUUCACAGAUAUCAAACUUCUCUCACGGGAGAAGGUUGAUUAUCAUUUUUGAUACAUUGCUAUUGAUAUGGAUAUUUUCAACAAUUAAAGACUUCAUCUUCAUACUAUCUCGAAUUCAUUGGUAUUUAAUCUCAAUAUGCUUUGAUCGAGAAUGAAUAAGAUGAUGCUCACUAAAAUGGAUUGUACUUCAAAUGUCACAGUGCAACAAAAAGUUUUUUUGCAUUAGACUAAGUUCAUAUAAGAAUUUUUUUAUUCAUAACAAUUAUUUGUCUUUUUAUCAAGAGCAAUGUAUCCAACCUCUGUAUUAGAUAAUUCAAUAUAUUUUUGCAAUAUUAAUUGCUAUGAAACUGUCUCCCCUGCAAAAAUCAUUAAAUAUCCCGAUAUGAACUUUCUAAAAUCAACAUCACCAUCCAUACAUGCAUUUGUAUAUCUAUCUAGAAUAGAUUUAUCAUUUUCAAAACAUAUACUAAAACUAGAAGUGCAUUUGAAAUAUCUAAAUAUCCAUCUUAUUUUUUUUUAACAUAUCUCUCAUGGAGAAAUUUGGUGUCAGGCAGAAAAGUCAGAAUAGCCAUGGUGGAACUAAAAAACCAAAGUAGCCCACCCAACACAACCUAACUUUGAGAGAUUAAGGGUAAAAACAGUGUUAUUACUAUUAAUAUCCACAUUUAAAUUAGUUUGUAUCCACAUUAUCAUUCACAGUAAAAUUGUCAUAACUCUUUUUUUUUUAAAAAAAAAUUGAAAAAUGUUUUGUUGAAUAUGCCCACACUUAAUAUCAUGUCAUGUUAUCGCUAGAAUUAAAGUUCAUUUUUACAAUUUAAAAUAUAUCAUAUUUUAAUUAAAAAACUGACUUUACAAAAUGCAGCACUGGAUUUAAUGAAAAAUGAAGAAGUUGAAGCAAUCAUAGGGCCUCAAAGAUCAUCAGAAGCCAAGUUUGUGAUAGAGCUUGGAAACAAGACACAAGUGCCAAUUCUCUCUUUUUCAGCUACUAGUCCUGCUCUCACUCCAGUUCAAAGCAAUUACUUUAUCCGGACAGCUCAGAGUGAUUCCUCUCAAGUGAAAGCCAUUGCCAGCAUUGUCGAAACUUAUGGUUGGAGGGAAAUUGUUCUAAUCUAUGAAGGCACAGAAUAUGGCAUUGCUUUGGUUCCAUAUUUGCUACAUGCCUUCCACGAGAUUGGUACUCGAGUUCCCUAUGAAAGUUGCAUUCCAUCGUCUUUCGAUGACACUGAAAUCAUGAGCGAGCUCCAGAAAAUAAAGAAAAUGCAGGAAAGCGUGUUUCUGGUGCACAUGACAGCCUCCAUGGGAUCCAGGCUAUUCUUACUCGCCGAAAGCGCAGGAAUGAUGAGUGAAGGGUAUGCAUGGCUCGUGACAACAGGAUUGUCCACCUUAUUAGAUCCUGUGGACGCAAAAGUAAUGGAUUCUAUGCAAGGUGUAUUAGGUGUAAAGCCAUAUGUACCAAAAUCAAUAGAACUUGAAGGUUUCAAAUCAAGAUGGAAAAAGAAUUUCAACUCUGAAAACCUCUUUGGUUUAUGGGCAUAUGAUACAGUUUGGGCGAUAGCAAUGGCAGUGGAGAGGGCUGGCAUUGUGCAUUCUAGUUUCUUAAAACAAAACGCAAGCAACAGGUCAGUUGAUCUUGCGGCUUUGGGAAUCUCAGAAAUGGGGCCAAGACUCCUGAAGUCCAUAUUAAACACUACCUUUGAUGGCUUGAGCGGAAAGUUCCAGUUGGUUAAGGGUGAGAUGGCACCUUUCGCCUUUGAAAUAUUCAAUGUGGUGGGGAGAUCAGAGAGGGUUAUUGGAUAUUGGACAGAAAAAGGAGGACUUUCUCAGAGCUUGGAUAGCAGUAGUAAAAUAUCACACUCAAAUUCCAAAACCAAACUGAAGCAACCAAUUUGGCCAGGAGGCACAAUACAACAGCCGAAGAAAUUGAGGAUUGGGGUUCCAGUGAGAAGCGAUUUUAGCGAAUUUAUAAAAGUCGAAUGGGAUCAGCAGAGCAAUGAGCCUAUUGUUUCAGGCUUCUCUGCAGAGGUUUUCCUUGCAGUGCAUGAUAUAUUACCAUUUCCCCUUCCGUAUGAAUUCAUACCCUUUAUGAACGAAAGUAGUAGGAAGAGUGCCGGGACUUACGAUGAUCUUCUUCGGCAAAUCGAACAUCAGGUCCGUGUUAUGCUACUUAAAAUCCAUUUUUCUAUUCUAAUUUGCUGUAGUAAAAAGCUUGAAAUUAAGUUCAUAAAAAGAGUGACCUUGUCUUGUUUGUCUUUCAGAAAUUUGAUGCAGUGGUUGGAGAUACAACGAUAGUGGCUUAUCGCUCAUCAUAUGUAGAUUUCACCUUGCCUUACUCGGAAUCAGGCAUAACAAUGGUGGUUUUGAUGAAACGCGAUGAGAGGGAUAACAUGUGGAUUUUCUUGAAGCCACUAAGCCCGAAACUUUGGUUAGUAACUGGAGUAGCCUUCUUUGUCACAGGUUUAGUGGUAUGGGUGCUCGAACACCGUACAAACACAGAGUUUAGGGGAACACCAGAGCAACAACUGGGCACAGUUAUUUGGUUCUCCUUCUCAACACUGGUCUUUGCACAUAGUAAUUAACUUCUCUAACUUUCGUGUUUUUAUCUUCUUUAUUUUCUUUUCAUAAUUGAUUACAAGCGCAACUAAAGUAUGAGCAUGAAUCAUUAAUUUUUCCUUUUUUGCCGUAAUAGGGGAGAGGCCAGAGAACAACCUAACAAAAUUUGUCUUGAUCAUAUGGAUGUUUGUGGUACUUAUUAUAUCUCAGAGUUACACUGCUAGCUUAGCCUCAAUGCUAACAGUACAGCGGAUGCAUCCCGCAUUUGUUGAUGUCACAGAGAUCCAGAGGAAUAAUUACUUUGUUGGACACCAUAAAGAUUCUUUUGUGAAAGAUUUCCUUAAAAAAGAAUUACAUUUCAAUGACACGAUGUUGAGGGAAUAUAGCACUCCAGAGGAGUUUCACGAUGCGUUGUCUAGAGGGUCUCAUAAUGGUGGUGUGGCUGCUAUCUUCGAAGAAAUUCCCUACGUUAGACGCUUCCUUAACGACAAGUACCGCUGCUCUAAAUUUCAAAUGGUAGGACCAACCUAUCAAACCGAUGGAUUUGGCUUUGUGAGUGACUCUCUCUCUCUCUUUCUAAAGUUGUUAGGUUUUAAGUAGAACUCCAUGAUUAUCAGGCUACUUAUAAUUAAGGCAAAAGUGAUCAUUAGCCAUUGUUAAGCAUGUAUAUAACUAUUACAGAACUUAAGCAGUGAGUAAACUUUCUAAUCAGCUCGAUCUAUUUUCUUCUUCUUUUUUUCAUUAUAGGCCUUCCCACUUAACUCCCCACUAGUCUCUCAUAUCUCAAGAGCAAUCUUGAAUGUCACUGAAGAUCAUGAUAAAAUGGAAGCAAUUACGAGUAAAAGCUUUGGUAGGGAAAUCACCUGUGAAGAUCGAGGAGCUGAAACCUCUUCAGGUGGUCUAAGGUUGUCUAGCUUCGCGGGCCUCUUCCUUAUCUCUGGAGUUGCUUCCAUAUCUUCGCUC
RNAcentral lists this long non-coding RNA (33057 nucleotides) under Populus trichocarpa (black cottonwood). RNAcentral's name for it is "long non-coding RNA (PTRI_LNC001814)". The record is from RNAcentral. Lineage: Eukaryota; Viridiplantae; Streptophyta; Magnoliopsida; Malpighiales; Salicaceae.